Molecule: non-coding RNA, 1795 nt
Organism: Paramuricea clavata
Lineage: Eukaryota; Metazoa; Cnidaria; Anthozoa; Malacalcyonacea; Plexauridae
Source: the annotation of a GenBank genome assembly
UUUUAUUAAAAUAUUCAGUGGUUCCCGUAAUUUUAAGUUAAUUUAAGAACUUGAACAACAAACUAAUAUACAUAUAAACAGUAAGAACAAACUUACCCUAUAUAUGCUUCAGGAUUUCCCAUAUACUAAAUCAAUUCGUAUUGUUUCGUAAAAAUUGAAAAAAAAUGUUUUACAAUUUAUUGUGCAUGAAACGAUUUCCCAAGCUUUCUUACAUGAUUUUAAGUCUUUGCCUCCUUCACUCCUGGCAAUGAGGACUAUGUAUUGAAAUGAAUAUAACUGGAACGCUACCUCAAAACGGAAAUUUGAAGACAAACUUGAAGACCAGGCUCAGGCCCCAGUGUGUGGCCGAAUUGGGUAUAUUAAAUUGUUAAUGUAAUUCAUAAAUUAUUUGUUUAUCGCUCACAUUAUUUGAUAACCUGUCGCUAUUUAUUUAUUUUUAAAUGAUAUUUAAAUACAUAGAUAUUGAUCUUUAUUGGUUGCUGCACUAAGUACUAUAACUAUUUAAUUGUUAGCAAUUAGUUUGAUAAAAUGGCGGUUAAUUACUGACUAAUUAUUUAAUUAAUUAUUACAGGACACAAAGCAAUCGCUGGAGCGUCACUCCAUCCUUCCACACCCAGCUGGAGUUGAAAUGGCGAGCAUGUUUCAGUUCUAUCAAGAAGGCAUCGAACGAAGUGUGGAAGUCACGAAGAAACUCAAUCCCAAAGUUUGCUCUUUUGAAACUUUUGUUCAAAAUCAUAAGAAAGAAUUAUCGAUGUUAUAAGCUUUCCUUUAUAAAACAGAUGGACGUUCUUUCUCUUGAUUGAAAAGUAUCGCUUGUAAUAAGUAAAACUACUAAGUAUAGAGCUAUAAUUUAAUUGAUAGGUUUUAGUAUAUGCGUUAUAGAGAGUAUAACAGAUGGUGCAGGUCACUAUUGUCACUAUUACUUUAGAAAUGUUGACACUCAGCGUUGCAGCGAAGUGGUGUAAGGGUCCAAAUUACCCGAUGUUUUAAAUUACGUUUAAAAAUUAGUAUACGUUACCUAAAAGCAACGUUUGAAAUUUAGUGUGGUUUUUCAUCAAUAAGCAAGUGUUUAUUCCGAAAAAAAUAUUAGCUCACUUGGUACGGGGCUAAAUUUAUCAAGGGAUGUUCGGGCAAUGCUCACCAAAGAAAAUAUUGAAUAUUUCAUCCCUCAGAAAUGCCGUAACUAUAAUUUGGCGUUCUUAGGCCUGUUUCAUACGUCGCACUAUCCUCAUUUAAUUCAGAUGCAUUUAGUUGAACGAAUUAAAUGCGACGGUAGUGCAUCAUAUUUAACAAAUUAAAUUCGUCUGAUGAAUUAAAUUCGUCCAAGACGUUUUUUUCCUUCAUGGUCAGACGGAUACAACGUUUGUAGCGCGUCUUCGUCAUUCGACGUCUUAUCGUUGUGUCGAAUUAAAUGCAUAAAUUAUGUUAAAGUCUAUUCCUCUCUUUCUGAUCUCGUGGUUUUUAUUUCUGGGUAAUCCAUAAUUGCUAUAGUCAAAAUGAAUUCGUCUGAAUUAAACUCGUCGUUUGAAACGAAACCAUUUUAUUCGACGUACGAAACAGGUCUUAGUUCACUUUCACUUCUAACUUUUACUUUUGUUGUCAAAGCUCGAAUAAAUUACCUAAAAAUCAACUUAAAUUACCUGGAAUUACUUAUGAACAAACAUCGGGGUGUUACCCGCACAACAUACGUCAGUGUCUAUGAUCGGGCAGAUUCUACUUAAAAAUCGGGCAAUUUCCUAGGUUGCCUCUUCGAGAUAUUAAUAUUUAUAAAGUCAGAGAAACUGAUUGAAUGACA